This 160-nucleotide ribosomal RNA is filed under the name Trimmatostroma abietina. RNAcentral describes it as "5.8S ribosomal RNA". It matches the Rfam family "5.8S ribosomal RNA". Rfam says of the family: 5.8S ribosomal RNA (5.8S rRNA) is a component of the large subunit of the eukaryotic ribosome. It is transcribed by RNA polymerase I as part of the 45S precursor that also contains 18S and 28S rRNA. RNAcentral also lists the same sequence under 28 other names. Lineage: Eukaryota; Fungi; Ascomycota; Dothideomycetes; Mycosphaerellales; Mycosphaerellaceae. The record is from RNAcentral.
AAAACUUUCAACAACGGAUCUCUUGGUUCUGGCAUCGAUGAAGAACGCAGCGAAAUGCGAUAAGUAAUGUGAAUUGCAGAAUUCAGUGAAUCAUCGAAUCUUUGAACGCACAUUGCGCCCCUUGGUAUUCCGAGGGGCAUGCCUGUUCGAGCGUCAUUAC